GACGAACGCUGGCGGCGUGCGUAACACAUGCAAGUCGAACGAGAGAGUGAGAGAAGCUUGCUUUUCUUACGAUCGAGUGGCAAACGGGUGAGUAACGCGUAAACAACCUGCCCCGCAGAUGGGGACAACAGCUGGAAACGGCUGCUAAUACCGAAUACGCUCCUCUUAGCGCAUGGUAAGAGGAAGAAAGGGUGGCCUCUGGAACAAGCUACCGCUGUGGGAGGGGUUUGCGUCUGAUUAGCUAGUUGGAGGGGUAACGGCCCACCAAGGCGACGAUCAGUAGCCGGUCUGAGAGGAUGAACGGCCACAUUGGAACUGAGACACGGUCCAGACUCCUACGGGAGGCAGCAGUGGGGAAUCUUCCGCAAUGGGCGAAAGCCUGACGGAGCAACGCCGCGUGAGUGAAGACGGCCUUCGGGUUGUAAAGCUCUGUUAUAGGGGACGAACGGCCGGGUAGCGAAUAGGUACCCGGCAUGACGGUACCGUAAGAGAAAGCCACGGCUAA
RNAcentral lists this ribosomal RNA (505 nucleotides) under Megasphaera geminata. Its description in RNAcentral is "bacterial SSU rRNA". It matches the Rfam family "Bacterial small subunit ribosomal RNA", at positions 28 to 500 of the family's 1533-position model. The record is from RNAcentral. Lineage: Bacteria; Bacillati; Bacillota; Negativicutes; Veillonellales; Veillonellaceae.